This 253-nucleotide ribosomal RNA is filed under the name uncultured bacterium. RNAcentral's name for it is "partial 16S ribosomal RNA". It matches the Rfam family "Bacterial small subunit ribosomal RNA", at positions 524 to 776 of the family's 1533-position model. The record is from RNAcentral.
GACGAACCGUGCGAACGUUGUUCGGAAUCACUGGGCUUAAAGGGCGCGUAGGCGGCUUCGAAAGUCCGGGGUGAAAGCCCCCAGCUUAACUGGGGAAGUGCCUCGGAUACUGCGGAGCUCGAGGGAGGUAGGGGCGGAUGGAACUUCCGGUGGAGCGGUGAAAUGCGUUGAUAUCGGAAGGAACGCCGGUGGCGAAAGCGAUCCGCUGGCCCUCUACUGACGCUGAGGCGCGAAAGCCAGGGGAGCAAACGGG